This 852-nucleotide ribosomal RNA is filed under the name marine metagenome. RNAcentral describes it as "bacterial SSU rRNA". It matches the Rfam family "Bacterial small subunit ribosomal RNA", at positions 224 to 1083 of the family's 1533-position model. The record is from RNAcentral.
GAUGACCAUGCGUAUCAUUAGCUAGUAGGCGAGGUAACGGCUCACCUAGGCAACGAUGAUUAGGGGUCCUGAGAGGGAGAUCCCCCACACUGGUACUGAGACACGGACCAGACUCCUACGGGAGGCAGCAGUGAGGAAUAUUGGACAAUGGUCGAAAGACUGAUCCAGCCAUGCCGCGUGCAGGAUGAAUGCCCUAUGGGUUGUAAACUGCUUUUAUACGGGAAGAACACCACCCACGUGUGGGUGACUGACGGUACCGUAAGAAUAAGGACCGGCUAACUCCGUGCCAGCAGCCGCGGUAAUACGGAGGGUCCAAGCGUUAUCCGGAAUCAUUGGGUUUAAAGGGUCCGUAGGCGGGCUAUUAAGUCAGAGGUGAAAGUUUGCAGCUCAACUGUAAAAUUGCCUUUGAUACUGGUAGUCUUGAGUUAUAGUGAAGUGGUUAGAAUAUGUGGUGUAGCGGUGAAAUGCAUAGAUAUCACAUAGAAUACCAAUUGCGAAGGCAGAUCACUAACUAUAUACUGACGCUGAUGGACGAAAGCGUGGGGAGCGAACGGGAUUAGAUACCCCGGUAGUCCACGCCGUAAACGAUGGAUACUAGCUGUUGGAUUUUUUCAGUGGCUAAGCGAAAGUGAUAAGUAUCCCACCUGGGGAGUACGUUCGCAAGAAUGAAACUCAAAGGAAUUGACGGGGGCCCGCACAAGCGGUGGAGCAUGUGGUUUAAUUCGAUGAUACGCGAGGAACCUUACCAGGGCUUAAAUGGGAAAUGACAGGGGCAGAGACGCCCCCUUCUUCGGACAUUUCUCAAGGUGCUGCAUGGUUGUCGUCAGCUCGUGCCGUGAGGUGUCAGGUUAA